UGGGGAAUUUUGCACAAUGGGGGGAACCUUGAUGCAGCGACGCCGCGUGAGGGAUGGAGGCCUUCGGGUUGUGAACCUCUUUCGCUCGUGUGCAAGCCGCUAUUUGGGUAGUGGUGAGUGUAGCGGGUAAAGAAGCGCCGGCUAACUACGUGCCAGCAGCCGCGGUAAUACGUAGGGCGCGAGCGUUGUCCGGAAUUAUUGGGCGUAAAGGGCUUGUAGGCGGUUGGCCGCGUCUGCCGUGAAAUCCUCUGGCUUAACUGGGGGCGUGCGGUGGGUACGGGUUGACUUGAGUGCGGUAGGGGAGACUGGAAUUCCUGGUGUAGCGGUGGAAUGCGCAGAUAUCAGGAGGAACACCGGUGGCGAAGGCGGGUCUCUGGGCCGUUACUGACGCUGAGGAGCGAAAGCGUGGGGAGCGAACAGG
RNAcentral lists this ribosomal RNA (421 nucleotides) under Verrucomicrobiota bacterium. RNAcentral's name for it is "Verrucomicrobia bacterium partial 16S ribosomal RNA". It matches the Rfam family "Bacterial small subunit ribosomal RNA", at positions 355 to 776 of the family's 1533-position model. The record is from RNAcentral. Lineage: Bacteria; Pseudomonadati; Verrucomicrobiota.